UAACAGCCUGUUCCACGAUCUCGAAAGAAAAUUUGUGCGAACGAAGGCAACUCACUCACUUUCGCAUAAGAAUGCGUUCCACUAACUUUCGUUCUUUCUUUCGCAUAGCCUUACGUGAUUCAGUGUUGCAAAAUAUUUUUUGGCAAAAUUAAUCGCGAAAUAAGGCAAAAAAAGCGCCAAAUGUCUAAUUUAAACGCGAAAAAGCAGCAGUGGCUCUGUCUCAACUGACAGUUCAGUUGUAAACAAACAAAUUGUAAAUAAACAAACAAAAUAAAAUUUCUAGUGAUUGUGUUUAGAUUAUUUGUGUUCUUAAAAAAGAAAAAAAAUGAAUAUUUCUGUAGCCCUAUUUUUUAUGGAUGAUGAGGAGGAGGUUCAAAUUGUGCCACGGAGGCAUUUAAGAGAUGCUUCGAAUUUAUUUGAAGUACCUAACAACCAGUUUGUGUCUUCCAGUGGUCUUCAUGGGAUUGCCUGCUGCUUCCAAAAAUUGGCACUCCUCUGGCGAACUUAGGAUUCUCCCCCAUAUACUCAACUAGUGCCCGCAGCUGUGUAGUUUUUUCGUGCUGGAAUUGAGAAAAUAAAAAAAUAUAUAUUUGUUGUUCACAGAUUAAA
This is a long non-coding RNA of Musca domestica (house fly), 609 nucleotides long. RefSeq lists it as uncharacterized. Lineage: Eukaryota; Metazoa; Arthropoda; Insecta; Diptera; Muscidae. The transcript is spliced from 2 exons. The record is from RefSeq and is a predicted model, not a curated record.